RNAcentral lists this transfer RNA (82 nucleotides) under Sinorhizobium psoraleae. RNAcentral's name for it is "tRNA-Lys". The record is from RNAcentral. Lineage: Bacteria; Pseudomonadati; Pseudomonadota; Alphaproteobacteria; Hyphomicrobiales; Rhizobiaceae.
AUGCGCAUGUGUGAGGAUGACGGCGUCGAUCUUCUUGGGAUCGAAGGGAAAUUGACGGUAGUUCAGUUCUUUCUCCGUCUUC